AAGUCGUAACAAGGUUUCCGUAGGUGAACCUGCGGAAGGAUCAUUAUUCUCUCGAAUAACGAGUCGGGGGUUUAAACAGUAGCCUGCUGCUGUUUUCCCUGCCUGUAUCCUUGACUUUUGAGUACUUGUCGUUUCCUCGGCGGAUUUCUCUGCCGAAUGGAUACCAACAACAUCUUUUUGCAAUUGCAGUCAGCGUCUGAAUGAGAUAUUUAAUAUUUACAACUUUCAACAACGGAUCUCUUGGUUCUG
This 249-nucleotide unclassified non-coding RNA is filed under the name air metagenome. RNAcentral's name for it is "partial contains small subunit ribosomal RNA, internal transcribed spacer 1, and 5.8S ribosomal RNA". The stretch from base 1 to 46 matches the Rfam family "Eukaryotic small subunit ribosomal RNA", at positions 1786 to 1831 of the family's 1831-position model. The record is from RNAcentral.